UUAUAAAUUGAAUCAUUUUAUAUUAUGUAUGUAAUAAAUAAAGAUCACUUUCAACAACGGAUCUCUUGGCUCUCGCAUCGAUGAAGAACGUAGCGAAGUGCGAUAAGUAAUGUGAAUUGCAGAAUUCCGUGAAUCAUCGAAUCUUUGAACG
RNAcentral lists this ribosomal RNA (151 nucleotides) under uncultured Glomus. Its description in RNAcentral is "5.8S ribosomal RNA". The stretch from base 46 to 151 matches the Rfam family "5.8S ribosomal RNA", at positions 1 to 106 of the family's 154-position model. Rfam says of the family: 5.8S ribosomal RNA (5.8S rRNA) is a component of the large subunit of the eukaryotic ribosome. It is transcribed by RNA polymerase I as part of the 45S precursor that also contains 18S and 28S rRNA. Functionally, it is thought that 5.8S rRNA may be involved in ribosome translocation. The record is from RNAcentral. Lineage: Eukaryota; Fungi; Glomeromycota; Glomeromycetes; Glomerales; Glomeraceae.